Molecule: unclassified non-coding RNA, 168 nt
Filed under: uncultured Hyaloscyphaceae
Lineage: Eukaryota; Fungi; Ascomycota; Leotiomycetes; Helotiales
Description: sequence contains ITS1
Source: RNAcentral
CCGAGUUUCGUGCCCGUACGGGUAGAUCUCCCACCCUAUGUUAUUAUUACCUUGUUGCUUUGGCGGGCCGCCAGGCUCCGGUCAGGCUAUCGGCUUCGGCUGGUAAGCCGCCCGCCAGAGGACCUAAACUCUGUUUGUCUAUACUGUCUGAGUACUAUAUAAUAGUUA